Molecule: ribosomal RNA, 305 nt
Filed under: uncultured bacterium
Lineage: Bacteria
Description: bacterial SSU rRNA
Rfam family: Bacterial small subunit ribosomal RNA
Source: RNAcentral
UCCUACGGGGGGCAGUAGUGGGGGAUAUUGCACAAUGGGGGAAACCCUGAUGCAGCGACGCCGCGUGAGCGAUGAAGUAUUUCGGUAUGUAAAGCUCUAUCAGCAGGGAAGAAAAUGACGGUACCUGACUAAGAAGCCCCGGCUAACUACGUGCCAGCAGCCGCGGUAAUACGUAGGGGGCAAGCGUUAUCCAGAUUUACUGGGUGUAAAGGGAGCGUAGACGGCAGCGCAAGUCUGGAGUGAAAUGCCGGGGCUCAACCCCGGAACUGCUUUGGAAACUGUGCAGCUAGAGUGCGGGAGAGGUA